UGCCCCGUAGUUCAGUUGGUAGAACGGCUCACUGUUAAUGAGACGGUCGCUGGUUCGAGUCCAGCCGGGGCAGUCA
Molecule: transfer RNA, 76 nt
Filed under: Chloroflexota bacterium
Lineage: Bacteria; Bacillati; Chloroflexota
Description: Chloroflexi bacterium tRNA-Asn
Rfam family: tRNA
About the family: Transfer RNA (tRNA) molecules are approximately 80 nucleotides in length.
Source: RNAcentral